RNAcentral lists this ribosomal RNA (254 nucleotides) under uncultured bacterium. Its description in RNAcentral is "partial 16S ribosomal RNA". It matches the Rfam family "Bacterial small subunit ribosomal RNA", at positions 524 to 776 of the family's 1533-position model. The record is from RNAcentral.
UACGAAGGGGGCUAGCGUUACUCGGAUUGACUGGGCGUAAAGGGCGCGUAGGCGGUCAGCACAAGUCAGUUGUGAAAUCUCCGGGCUUAACUCGGAAAGGUCAACUGAUACUGUGCGACUAGAGUGCAGAAGGGGCAACUGGAAUUCUCGGUGUAGCGGUGAAAUGCGUAGAUAUCGAGAGGAACACCUGCGGCGAAGGCGGGUCGCUGGGCUGACACUGACGCUGAUGCGCGAAAGCCAGGGGAGCGAACGGG